RNAcentral lists this ribosomal RNA (458 nucleotides) under Wolbachia endosymbiont of Culex pipiens molestus. RNAcentral's name for it is "bacterial SSU rRNA". It matches the Rfam family "Bacterial small subunit ribosomal RNA", at positions 523 to 983 of the family's 1533-position model. Lineage: Bacteria; Pseudomonadati; Pseudomonadota; Alphaproteobacteria; Rickettsiales; Anaplasmataceae. The record is from RNAcentral. RNAcentral also lists the same sequence under 1 other name.
AUACGGAGAGGGCUAGCGUUAUUCGGAAUUAUUGGGCGUAAAGGGCGCGUAGGCUGGUUAAUAAGUUAAAAGUGAAAUCCCGAGGCUUAACCUUGGAAUUGCUUUUAAAACUAUUAAUCUAGAGAUUGAAAGAGGAUAGAGGAAUUCCUGAUGUAGAGGUAAAAUUCGUAAAUAUUAGGAGGAACACCAGUGGCGAAGGCGUCUAUCUGGUUCAAAUCUGACGCUGAAGCGCGAAGGCGUGGGGAGCAAACAGGAUUAGAUACCCUGGUAGUCCACGCUGUAAACGAUGAAUGUUAAAUAUGGGGAGUUUACUUUCUGUAUUACAGCUAACGCGUUAAACAUUCCGCCUGGGGACUACGGUCGCAAGAUUAAAACUCAAAGGAAUUGACGGGGACCCGCACAAGCGGUGGAGCAUGUGGUUUAAUUCGAUGCAACGCGAAAAACCUUACCACUUCUUG